GACGAACGCUGGCGGCGUGCUUAACACAUGCAACUCGAACGGAAAGGCCCUGCUUUUGUGGGGUGCUCUAGUGGCGAACGGAUGAGUAACACGUGAGUAACCUGCCCUUGACUUUGGGAUAACUUCAGGAAACUGGGGCUAAUACCGGAUAGGAGCUCCUGCUGCAUGGUGGGGGUUGGAAAGUUUCGGCGGUUGGGGAUGGACUCGCGGCUUAUCAGCUUGUUGGUGGGGUAGUGGCUUACCAAGGCUUUGACGGGUAGCCGGCCUGAGAGGGUGACCGGCCACAUUGGGACUGAGAUACGGCCCAGACUCCUAAGGGAGGCAGCAGUGGGGAAUAUUGCACAAUGGGCGGAAGCCUGAUGCAGCAACGCCGCGUGCGGGAUGACGGCCUUCGGGUUGUAAACCGCUUUCGCCUGUGACGAAGCGUGAGUGACGGUAAUGGGUAAAGAAGCACCGGCUAACUACGUG
RNAcentral lists this ribosomal RNA (468 nucleotides) under uncultured bacterium. Its description in RNAcentral is "partial 16S ribosomal RNA". It matches the Rfam family "Bacterial small subunit ribosomal RNA", at positions 28 to 507 of the family's 1533-position model. The record is from RNAcentral.